GCGACCCCAGGUCAGGCGGGAUUACCCGCUGAAUUUAA
Molecule: ribosomal RNA, 38 nt
Filed under: Carya glabra (pignut hickory)
Lineage: Eukaryota; Viridiplantae; Streptophyta; Magnoliopsida; Fagales; Juglandaceae
Also listed under: 34 other names
Description: partial 26S ribosomal RNA
Source: RNAcentral